UCCCCUUUUUUGAGGGAAUAAAGCCCUGUU
Molecule: non-coding RNA, 30 nt
Filed under: Rattus norvegicus (Norway rat)
Lineage: Eukaryota; Metazoa; Chordata; Mammalia; Rodentia; Muridae
Source: RNAcentral